RNAcentral lists this long non-coding RNA (649 nucleotides) under Trifolium pratense (red clover). RNAcentral's name for it is "long non-coding RNA (TPRA_LNC009888)". The record is from RNAcentral. Lineage: Eukaryota; Viridiplantae; Streptophyta; Magnoliopsida; Fabales; Fabaceae.
CUUAUUAGUAAGACAAAUUCUCUCAUUUCAUACUUGUUAAGAAAAUUGUUGUAUUUACUAAACUACUCCCUCCGGUCCUUUUUAUAAGGAACAAUUUGAAAAAAUCACACAGACCAAGAAAUCACAUUUAACAUAAUUAUUUUCAUUUAAUACUCUUAUAAAUUUAAAUUUAUUCCAUAUAUACCCUUAUUUUAUUACUCUUUAUUCAAUUAAUUUACUUAUUUUUAAAUUCUCUCUCAUAAUAAAUAAGGGCAUAAGUGAAAUUGAACAUUUAAAACAUUUGAAAAUUGGUCAAAGUUUCUUAUAAAAAGGACCAAAUUUUUUGCCCUAAGUGUUCCUUAUAAAAAGGACCGGAGGGAGUAUCAUUUACAAAUUACAAUAUAUUAAAUUUACUUUGGAAAUAUGCAAUCAUCUUAAAAAGUAGAAAAUUAAUGAGGAGUAUUUUAUGAACAAUAACAUUUAAUAUAAUUGAAUUUGUUAACUUUUACUUAUAUUUAAGGCAAAAUCAUUUGUUGACUUUUGCUUAUAAAUAAGACCGGAGGAAGAACAUAAUCUUUCUUCGAUUUUAGUGAUAUUUAUUUAUGAAUUUAAUUUAUAUGCACCGUCAGUGUAAAAUUAUUUUGCACAUGCGUCCAAUAAUAUAAUGACA